This 59-nucleotide transfer RNA is filed under the name Argas sp. San Antonio ARK-2022a. RNAcentral's name for it is "tRNA-Arg". Lineage: Eukaryota; Metazoa; Arthropoda; Arachnida; Ixodida; Argasidae. RNAcentral also lists the same sequence under 1 other name. The record is from RNAcentral.
AAAAAAGAAGCGAUAUUUUGCAAUCAGUUUCGGCCUGAUCCUAGGGUAACCCUUUUUUA